Drosophila persimilis is the source of this 424-nucleotide long non-coding RNA. RefSeq lists it as uncharacterized. The record is from RefSeq and is a predicted model, not a curated record. The transcript has 2 exons. NCBI's taxonomy places the organism in Eukaryota, Metazoa, Arthropoda, Insecta, Diptera, Drosophilidae.
UCAAUAGGCCAUGAUUGACCUAGAUCAUGCAAUCGCUUUGGCUAGGAAUUAAGCCCGAAUUACUCUUCCGUUUUUGGUCGCGGCUCAUUAAAUGGGGUCUGGGCCACAUGAAAUCAAAAUCAAACUCAAAAUCGUUUCCGAUCCGUAAUGUCUUUGCACUUAGUUACAAAACGUUGAGCACAGCAGAUCGAAAAUGUUUUGGGAUCUACUUGGUGGAAUUUUCGAGUUCAUUUUCGGGCUUUUGUUUCCCAGUUCGGACAGCGGGGAUGAGCCGGAUUCCGAGGAGGUGGAAACCACCUGAUGGUUCUAGCAGUUCACUUGAUUUAUAUUUCUCGUUCUUGUGAAAUUCAAAGAGUUUUCUUUAUUAUAUCUACGUAAAGUGUGUAUAGUAUGUAACAUAAAUUGCUCCAAAUAUGUUUUACUA